RNAcentral lists this unclassified non-coding RNA (287 nucleotides) under Hevea brasiliensis (rubber tree). Lineage: Eukaryota; Viridiplantae; Streptophyta; Magnoliopsida; Malpighiales; Euphorbiaceae. The record is from RNAcentral.
CAAUUUUAAAGCAGUUCAGUGUAAUAGAAGCCAAAAACAUACCCAACAAUAGGACCAAGACAAAUCAUCUCCACAAAGACACCCAAUGGCAAAACAACUAACAGGGAUACAGUAUACACCCAAGGCGACGCCGUCAAGAGCAAUCGGAGUGGCAGAGGACGUCGGACGCACUGGCGAGUGGGACGGCGACAAGAGCUUCUACUGGCGCGUCAACCUCACUCGCUGGUCUUCUGGUGACCAGAUUUUCUAGGUAAGGUCGCUGGCAAGGGAUCUUCCUUCCUAGGUGG